This 30-nucleotide non-coding RNA is filed under the name Mus musculus (house mouse). The record is from RNAcentral. Lineage: Eukaryota; Metazoa; Chordata; Mammalia; Rodentia; Muridae.
UAACAAACUGCAUCGCUUGCCUUUGCCCAC